GCUCCUUGGCCUACGUCUCUUCUGGGAUGAUAGUGUUGAAGAGCGUGUCAGCUUCUGUGGUCAUUUGCGGACCUUCAGCUCACCUGGUUUACUCUGGGUUGGUUGGAGAUCAUCCGACUCUUGAUCACCUUUACUUUGAAAAAAUUAGAGUGUUCAAAGCAGGCUUACGCCGUGAAUACUAUUAGCAUGGGAUAACACCGUAGGACUUCGGUUCUAUUUUGUUGGUUUCUAGGACUGAAGUAAUGAUUGAUAGGGAUAGUUGGGGGUGCUAGUAUUCAGCGGCCAGAGGUGAAAUUCUCGGAUUCGCUGAAGACUAACUUAUGCGAAAGCAUU
RNAcentral lists this ribosomal RNA (333 nucleotides) under uncultured Tracheleuglypha. RNAcentral's name for it is "SSU rRNA". The stretch from base 127 to 333 matches the Rfam family "Eukaryotic small subunit ribosomal RNA", at positions 748 to 955 of the family's 1831-position model. Lineage: Eukaryota; Cercozoa; Imbricatea; Euglyphida; Euglyphidae. The record is from RNAcentral.